RNAcentral lists this ribosomal RNA (253 nucleotides) under uncultured Eubacteriales bacterium. Its description in RNAcentral is "uncultured Clostridiales bacterium partial 16S ribosomal RNA". It matches the Rfam family "Bacterial small subunit ribosomal RNA", at positions 524 to 776 of the family's 1533-position model. The record is from RNAcentral. Lineage: Bacteria; Bacillati; Bacillota; Clostridia; Eubacteriales.
UACGUAGGGGGCAAGCGUUAUCCGGAUUUACUGGGUGUAAAGGGAGCGUAGACGGCGAUGCAAGUCUGAAGUGAAAGGCGGGGGCCCAACCCCCGGACUGCUUUGGAAACUGUAUGGCUGGAGUGCAGGAGAGGUAAGUGGAAUUCCUAGUGUAGCGGUGAAAUGCGUAGAUAUCACACAGAACACCGAUUGCGAAGGCAUCUCACGAAUCCGCUAUUGACGCUGAUGCACGAAAGCGUGGGUAUCAAACAGG